RNAcentral lists this ribosomal RNA (464 nucleotides) under uncultured bacterium. Its description in RNAcentral is "partial 16S ribosomal RNA". It matches the Rfam family "Bacterial small subunit ribosomal RNA", at positions 28 to 507 of the family's 1533-position model. The record is from RNAcentral.
GACGAACGCUGGCGGCGUGCUUAACACAUGCAAGUCGAACGGAAAGGCCCUGCUUGCAGGGUACUCGAGUGGCGAACGGGUGAGUAACACGUGGGUGAUCUGCCCUGCACUUCGGGAUAAGCCUGGGAAACUGGGUCUAAUACCGGAUAGGAGCCAUUUUUAGUGUGAUGGUUGGAAAGUUUUUUCGGUGUAGGAUGAGCUCGCGGCCUAUCAGCUUGUUGGUGGGGUAAUGGCCUACCAAGGCGGCGACGGGUAGCCGGCCUGAGAGGGUGGACGGCCACAUUGGGACUGAGAUACGGCCCAGACUCCUACGGGAGGCAGCAGUGGGGAAUAUUGCACAAUGGGCGCAAGCCUGAUGCAGCGACGCCGCGUGGGGGAUGACGGCCUUCGGGUUGCAAACUCCUUUCGCUAGGGACGAAGCUUUUGUGACGGUACCUAGAUAAGAAGCACCGGCUAACUACGUG